AGCGAACGCUGGCGGCAGGCCUAACACAUGCAAGUCGAACGAACUCUUCGGAGUUAGUGGCGGACGGGUGAGUAACACGUGGGAACGUGCCUUUUGGUUCGGAAUAACUCAGGGAAACUUGUGCUAAUACCGAAUGUGCCCUUCGGGGGAAAGAUUUAUCGCCAUUAGAGCGGCCCGCGUCUGAUUAGCUAGUUGGUGAGGUAACGGCUCACCAAGGCGACGAUCAGUAGCUGGUCUGAGAGGAUGACCAGCCACACUGGGACUGAGACACGGCCCAGACUCCGACGGGAGGGAGCAGUGGGGAAUCUUGCGCAAUGGGGGAAAGCCUGACGCAGCCAUGCCGCGUGAAUGAUGAAGGUCUUAGGAUUGUAAAAUUCUUUCACCGGGGACGAUAAUGACGGUACCCGGAGAAGAAGCCCCGGCUAACUUCGUG
This 433-nucleotide ribosomal RNA is filed under the name uncultured bacterium. RNAcentral's name for it is "partial 16S ribosomal RNA". It matches the Rfam family "Bacterial small subunit ribosomal RNA", at positions 29 to 507 of the family's 1533-position model. The record is from RNAcentral.